This 454-nucleotide ribosomal RNA is filed under the name uncultured Alloprevotella sp. Its description in RNAcentral is "bacterial SSU rRNA". It matches the Rfam family "Bacterial small subunit ribosomal RNA", at positions 341 to 792 of the family's 1533-position model. The record is from RNAcentral. Lineage: Bacteria; Pseudomonadati; Bacteroidota; Bacteroidia; Bacteroidales; Prevotellaceae.
ACGGAAGGCAGCAGUGAGGAAUAUUGGUCAAUGGACGGAAGUCUGAACCAGCCAUGCCGCGUGCAGGAAUAAGGCCCUAUGGGUCGUAAACUGCUUUUGUGGUGGAGCAAUAAGGCGUACGCGUACGUCGAUGAGAGUACAUCACGAAUAAGCAUCGGCUAACUCCGUGCCAGCAGCCGCGGUAAUACGGAAGGUCCGGGCGUUAUCCGGAUUUAUUGGGUUUAAAGGGAGCGUAGGCGGACGUUUAAGUCAGCUGUGAAAGUCUGCGGCUCAACCGUAGAAUUGCAGUUGAAACUGGAUGUCUUGAGUGCACGCAGGGAUGCCGGAAUUCGUUGUGUAGCGGUGAAAUGCUUAGAUAUGACGAAGAACUCCGAUCGCGAAGGCAAGUGUCCGGAGUGCAACUGACGCUGAGGCUCGAAAGUGUGGGUAUCAAACAGGAUUAGAUACCCUGGUA